CACCUCUAGCAUCAGNCGUAUUAGAGGCACUGCCUGCCCAGUGACAAUUAAAGUUUAACGGCCGCGGUAUCCUGACCGUGCAAAGGUAGCAUAAUCACUUGUUCUUUAAAUAAGGACUAGUAUGAAAGGCUUGACGAGGGUUUAACUGUCUCUUACUUACAGUCAGUGAAAUUGACCUUCCCGUGAAGAGGCGGGAAUAAAACAAUAAGACGAGAAGACCCUAUGGAGCUUUAAUUCACUAACUCAUUUUUACCAAACUUAAUCUACAAGAGACAAAAAACAAAUUAUGAGUUAACAAUUUUGGUUGGGGUGACCUCGGAGUAAAACCAACCCUCCGAAUGAUAUUAACCAAGACUUACAAGUCAAAGUUCCUAUCAUAAAUUGACCCAGAACAAUCUGAUCAACGAACCAAGUUACCCUAGGGAUAACAGCGCAAUCCUAUUUAAGAGUCCAUAUCGACAAUAGGGUUUACGACCUCGAUGUUGGAUCAGGACACCCCAAUGGUGCAACCGCUAUUAAAGGUUCGUUUGUUCAACGAUUAAAGUCCU
RNAcentral lists this ribosomal RNA (548 nucleotides) under Euryzygomatomys spinosus (Guiara). RNAcentral describes it as "partial 16S ribosomal RNA". It matches the Rfam family "Bacterial large subunit ribosomal RNA", at positions 1816 to 2597 of the family's 2925-position model. The record is from RNAcentral. Lineage: Eukaryota; Metazoa; Chordata; Mammalia; Rodentia; Echimyidae.